RNAcentral lists this long non-coding RNA (13620 nucleotides) under Olea europaea (common olive). RNAcentral's name for it is "long non-coding RNA (OEUR_LNC012409)". The record is from RNAcentral. Lineage: Eukaryota; Viridiplantae; Streptophyta; Magnoliopsida; Lamiales; Oleaceae.
CCCCCACCCACCCCUAUUGUGAAUACAUGUCAAUUAAGGUGUCAAAAUAUUUCUGGCACCCUAGCUUGAUUGCCACCAUUAUUCCAUGCUCCUCCAGGUUUCUACGCAUUUUCUCUAUUAGAAAUUCCCCCAAAUCUCUCCUUAAUUUACGCACUCAAAUUUCGUUGUACCAGCAAAUGCUAUCGCUACCCCCACCGUUCGAACGUUACCGAGGCCAUUUUCCUUCAUGGGGCAGUGCUUAGCUAAAGUCAGGGGGAAAUUUUCAGCUAGUUUUUCAGCCAUGUCGAACGCCGGAGGUGAUGCCCUUCAACUAAUCCAGUUCCAGUUUUCUCCGUCGAAUCUGCUCAAGAUUCAGAAAGGCGACAUCACUCUGUGACUGUCGACGGUUCCUCCGAUGCCAUAGUAAGAAUCUGGGUCUGUGUAUGUGUGUGUAAGGGUGUUGAUUCAUUGAAGUAAUAGCUCAGCAAACUGUUCCCCCUUCCCCCAGUUUUUGUGCAUAUGUUUGCUUGUGUGUUGAAGUUUUCUCAUAUGUUUGUUUGUGUGUUGAAGUUUGAAAUUAGGAAAAAGAAAUAUAGAAGUCUGGAGUUCCAUUUUUUGGAGUCACUGCAAUUAUAUACUUUAGAUGCCACUGCUCGUAAUUAUAGAUGAAAAGUUGAGGGUUUGGAUUCUUAGGAUUUGUGGGCAGUCUUUUUCCAGGAUAUUUGGGUAAACCUCAAUGUAGUUGUCGAGCUUAGCACUCGGUGUUGAGAUAGGCUUAUAAAGUUGGUAAAAACGAUACUGGAACCCAGUACAAGUUUUUCAAUAAAAUUAGGAUACGCAGAGACACGUAUAUAUAUGUAUAGUAUUUUCGAAAGUUAAAUCAUAAAAUUCAGCAUAAUUUCAUUAUUAUAAAAAGAUUUAAAUAGAAAUUUGCCAUGUAUUAAAACUUUUAAUUCUAUUAUCUAUUUUCAAUAAUAAAAUUAUGGCUAUCAACUAUUAACAUAGUUUAACACGUAUUUAAAGUUUUAAUACUAUUAUCCACUUUCAAUAAUAAAACCCUAGUCGUCAAUUAUUUAAUGAUACUAUUUUCAAUAAUAAGUGUAAAUUGUGUAGUUAUCUAUUAUAUUAAAACGCGUUUACUUUAUUGAAAUUGAACAACUCAAAAAAAUGUUGACGUUUGACCCACUUAAAAGUUGACCAUUUUUAUUUUUGAGAAAAUUGCAGCAACGGUUCCUAACCUUUUCAAUUUUUGCAGAUUUUAUCAUAACCUUCAUUUUGUACCACUCAUAGUCCCAACUUUCAAACAUAUGCAUCUAAAGUCCAAAUUUGAGGAAGUCAAAAUAUGAUCAAUUUUGACUAAAUUAAAAAGAGUAAAAUGGUAACUUUGUAUUUUUCUCACAUUAAAAAAGUUAAAAAAAAAAUAAAAAAAAAAAUGAAAAUUAACCCUUUCUCCUCCCACUCUACUCUUCCCCAUUCCCACCCACACCGACUCCGACAUUACCACCCAAAGGCCGGCCACCAUCGCCACCCACAUAUCGUCAACAACGUCGCCCAAAGGCAGCAGCCACCGCCACCCACACAUCCAUUAUCUUCUGGGCUUGAACAAAGAAAUGGGAGUUUACGAAUUCAAGAAAUGGUUUCACUAUUGAAUUUUCACGGUUUCUUCAUAGCCACCCAUUUUCCUACCAAAUUCCCAUUUUCUUCUCAGCCACUAGAUUGGGGUCUUAGAGUACAAUCUCCGGAGCAGCACUUUGAAUUUUUCUAGUAGGGUUGUUGAAUUCAAUGUUAAAAUCCCAUGUAGGCAUUUUCGGAUUUUUUUUAAUUGAGUUUGAAAUUUGAAAAUAGGUAGUUACUGGCAGUGAUGGUGGUGGUGGUGGUGAGAAGAUCGGUGUUGGUGGUCGUAAAUGAUUUUCUUGUUUUGAUUGGGUCAAGGUGGAGAUAGGAGUGGGGGUGUGGUGGUGGUCGGUGGAUGGCGAUUAGCCACCACUGACGCUACUGCAAUUUGGAGUGGUGGGGUGGGGAAAGAUGAUGAUGCCCCAUUUUCUUUCUUCUUUUCUUCCUUUUUAUUUUUUUAUUUUUUUUAUUUUUCAUUCAUGGUUUAUUUAUUUAUUAACUUAUCUAAUGGGAGAAAAAUGCAAAGUACCGGUUUACCCCUUUCAAUUUAGUUAAAAUUGGUCAAAGCCCACUUUUCUUGGUCAACUAAUGGUCUAUUUGGACUUCACAUGCAUAUUUUUGAAAGUUUUGGGAUUGUGAGUGGCACAAAAUGAAGGUUAAGGUAAAGUCUGCAAAAAUUGAAAAUGUUAGGGACCAAUGAUGCAAUUUUCUCUUUAUUUUUAAAAAAAGAUUUGCCUAAGGUUUGGUUUUCAACCUUUUAAGUGUUAUCUUCGUAUCUAUGAAAAUAAUGCUUAAGGGUUGGCUAUCUCCCUCUUCAUCUCUCUUCCAACGCACUUCUGACGAUAGUCUUUCCAAUUCACUCACUUGCGAUGGCCUUUAUCAUUGGACUAGUUGGUAGGUUAGUUUUAUGUGUUUUUUGGAGUACUUGCCGUGGUUCGCCGUUCGCACAACAAACAUUUGAGAUUCAAAAAAUAAACUUAAAAAGGACACACCUUGAGACACUUUCGAGACUUGUCGAAGUGUGUCCAACAAGUUUCGAUGUCCUAUAUCAGUCGGCUCAACAUAGGUUGUAUGUGCCCAUGCUUCAAAGCUGUUAAUGGAGCAUCUCACUUUAGGUUAAACAUUUCGAAAUUUGAAGAAUAAUUUCAAGAACUUUUAUUAACUUUCCAUUUACGAAAAUGAAGCACUUACUUUCUUGAGCUCAAGGAACUUGAAGGUUUCAUAUACGUUUGCACGCGUGAGAUUUGUUAUUUGAUGCAUGACCUUUCGAUAUUAAUGAAAAUAUUUGAUGGCAAAUGAAGACAAUAAAAGGAAUUCCUAUAGUACUAGGAAAUAAUAUAGUUUUAUUUAAUUAGGUUAUUUUAGUUUAUUGUAGUUUUCUAGUUUGCCUUAAAUGAGGGUUUUGUUCUACAGCUUUAGUUGUUUUCCUAUUUAAAUUAGAUUGUUUAGAUUAUACAAAAAGAUGGUCCAAUGGAUUAUAAUAGAAAGACUUAACUAUUGAAUAUACUCACAUUUUCUCUCUCUAAGGGUCCAUUUGAUUGUAAGAAUGGAAUUUGGGUAGAAAUACAAAGAAUUAAAGGGAAUUGAAUUGUCUAGAACUUGUUUUAUUGGGAAUUGUAAAUUAAAUGUGUUUGAUUGAUAUAAUUUUAAACCUAAAAAAUGUUGAAAUUUUGGAUCUUUUGAUGUCUGUUUGACUUUGUUUUACAUAAAAAUUGUCAAUUAAAUGGAUGAAAUUUGUUAUAAUAGUGGAUAGAAUUGUUUUCAUUGCCCAAAAAAAAAUAAUAAAAAAAAAUAAAAUAAAACACAUUGGAAAUCAUUUUCUCACCUUUCCUUAAAAAGCUAGAAAAGAUGGUCAUGUGGGAAAACCAAUUCCAUGAAAUUUGGGUGUCAUCAAACACAAAAUUUUGAAUAAAAACUUUUCCAUUUUCCAUGAAAAAAGAAGGUUAUCAAACAGGGCCUAAAUUCUUUUUAUUUUCUUUGAUUUCUUCUCUCUUUCCCUUACUUUCUUCUCAGUCUCGUAAAUUGCUUCUUGUGAAUUUCGUUUAUGAGCUUCCUACAUCAAUUUUGUAUUAGAGCAAGUCGUUUUCCUUUCAUUAAAUUAGUUGAUUUUGUGAGAUAUGGUUCAUGAAAAAGUAUACUGCAUCAACCACCGUUCAAACUUGCACAUAAAUUCUGCAAUAAAAAUUACUAGUCCACUAACUAGCCUAUACACCUACAACCUCCUUUAACUGCUAAAACCAUCAUAAAGCCCUGAUAUAAGCCAAACUAGAAAAACUAUAAUAAACUAAAAUAACCUAAUGUAAAUUAAACUAUAUUUAUUCCUAAAUCCAAUAGGAAUUCUUCUUAUUCUUAUCUUCAUUCCCCACCAUAUAAGUUCCUUGCUAUCUUCAUUUUUCUAGCGACCACCACAAUUACCUCCUACAGCAUUAUUCUACACCUAUCUUCUUACCAAUUUCGUCACUUGAGAGUACAAAGGGGUUUUAUCAUGGCCGAUUGUUUGGACAACGAUUACAAUGUGGAUUCUGCUCAUUUUUUUUAGUCCUUGGGGGUUUAUAUAUACAUACUACAAACGCUCUCAUUUUAAGAAAGUAGGUCUUUUUGGCUUCACAAUUCUGUUAUCCUUUCUCUACGCAACCCAGGACUUUCACGUUGACUAGAGACAUCCAAAGCUUUUCCUAGUGCGUCAUGCGUCAUUCAAGCCCUCUCUCUCCCUCUAUGGUUAAUGAUUGGGUUACCAUAUCUAAGCUCCAUGGUUAGUCUGCGCUCUUUGGACUUUUCAAACUUAGCGGCUCGGCCUAUCCAACUUGUUGGGUUUUGAUACCCAAUAAUCCGAGCGAUAAUUUAAAACAGUUGUCAGAUUAUUUAUCGACACCAUGGACUUGGCUCGACUCGAAAACGAACUACACUUUUGAAUGGCUCGGGUUGGGGUUGGAUGGUUCUUUGGUUAGUUGGACCAUUUAGUGAUUAAUAUGAAGUUGGAUAUUAGCCCAUUAGUUUAGAUUAAUUGGUAUCCCACUUAGUGAACAUUUGGCCCAAUUGGAAUGACCUAAACUAACCCUAUAUAUGCCAUCUUCUUGCAGUAGUUUUCUUAAUGGUGGUGUGGGGGUGUGUAUUGAGAGAGCCAAGAGAGGUGAGGGGGCAGCCGGCUUGGUGGUCGUUGGAGUUAGUCCACCAUUGUUGCUUCUUCUUCUCCCUAUCACCACCACCAUCCUUUUUUCUUUGUGGAGUUUGAGAGAGUUUGGGCAGUCCAAAGUGAAGGUGGAGUUCUUGUGUCAAGUCAAGGUAAAUCGAUGUUCGUUUGAUUAUUUUUUGAGUUCGGAAUUAAGAUUUAUCGAGAGAUUUUCGCUACACAAUUACUUCUUGAUCGGCCCAGCUGCUAGUCGACGUGGCAAGGUUCUUUGGACUUUUACUUUUACCUUUUGUAUUAUUUAGCCUUGUCAAAUUAUUAAAAAAAUUAAAAAAAAAAUCUAUUUUUUAUAAUUGCUUUCUCUUUGGCAUUGUUUGGGGGAUAUUUUGUAAAAUCAUUUUCUCCCAAAAUUAUUUUCAACCACACAUUCUAAGAGACCAAUAACUUUUCUAUACAUUUUAACCGCAUUCCAAAACAAUUGUUUUUCAUUUAAAAAAUAUAUCCCAAACAAAUGCUUUAUUUCUUUUACUUAGUUGUUAGUGAACAAAAAAAAAAAAAAAUGGGGAUCACAUUGUUGCAUUUUUUGGAUUCAUUCAAAAAAAUAAAAAAAUAAACAAAAUAAAAAAAUCAAAUCAAAUCAUCUUGACCUGGCUUUGGAGUUCCGUUCAUAUUUUGUGUCCUUGGUAGGCAAUAAUUGCAAUUUUUUGGAAUAUUUUCAUUGGCCGAGCAUUCCACUCAUAUUUGUCAUCACCAUACACAAUUCAUAUGAUAACUCUUAUAGCUCCAUCCAGAGUCUAGGUUAGUACCAUCAUCAAGCAAAUUAUUGUCAUUCUGAGGAUAAUGUUGGAAACACCAAUUAUAUUACUAGGCAAGUCAAAUUAAAAUCGUGGGACUUUGGGGGUUGUUAUAAUCUCGAGACAUUUCUUGAUUAGCUCCAUAAUCUUGGAAAAAAAUUUCACUUGCACAACAUGAGUGGCUCUCGUCCUUUUUGUCAUGCUAGUGUGUAACUUGUAGGUUUUGCUGGGCAUUAUUGGUGGAGUCAUAUUUGUGUGACAUUGAUCGUAUAGGUCAACGCAUGUCACUUAGUGGUAUAUGUAACAAAUGUGCCCUUUUCUAUUAUCAAACUCAGUUGCUAGAUUAAUUCUUUUUAUACUGUGCAAGGUAUGCAACUUCUAGAUUUCUCAUUGGUUUGAAUCUUGAGAUCAAUCUUAACGACAUUUCCACAACCCAAUCCUUGGAUGAGCUUAUGGCCGGGCUAUCAGGGACAUGUUAUUCCAUCUUCGCAAAGCAUAUCGUAAACUAGCAUACCACCUCAUUCUCGACAAUUACAUUCUAAAUCCAAUAAUGAAUCUGGUUGUGUUAGCUCUCUUCAAAAAACUUCGCCUGUAACUGAAGUGCCUACGAUUAAGCUGGACCUCGUUUUGUUGUUCUCCUUUUGUUCCCAAAACUUAUCUAAUAAACCGUAGGCACUUAAUUUAAGAGUGUAAUGCAGAUCAACAUUAAUCUCCAUAGAGGAUUAUGGGAAAUAACCACUAUUCCACUACAUAUAUAGUAUAUUUAAAGCAUAAUAAUACUUGUACAUAAAUGUAUCACCUAUCAGAAAAAAGGAAGAGUACCCAAUUUACACGUGUACAACUUGCACACACGUAAACACUAUUGACGUGAUCCAAGGAAUGAAGGCAAGUUCAGGCAAGGAUUUGUUGAUUGUUAAAGAAGGGCCCAUGACUAGGUUGUGAGCAAAGGGGUUAAAGAAGCGAUGGGAUUACUUGUCCAAUCUACAAUGGACAAACAUCGAUCUUGACAAGUAAAGAGACAAGUUUCAUGUUGGCUUGGAGAAAAUUACGAAGUGGAUCAACUCGAUACAAGUUUCAAACGAAGAGGCUGAACAAGUAAGCUAUGCGGUCACAUUGCUUACUAUGGCAUGCGACCUUAUGCAAUGAAACGGAAGGUCACUGGAGUUUUUUGUCUUGAACUAUGCGAUCGCACGCAAUAAUACUAUGUGUUGACAUAGUGUAUUCUGUGAUGAAAUUUUCAAUUUUUCGUGAAAUCUUUUAUUUAUAUUAAAACUCUAAUUUUUGUAAUCUUUUAGGAUUUCUUUUCAUUUUAACUUGGGUUUACAUGAGUUCAAUAUAGAUAGAUCUCAUUAUUUUCAUUGUAACAUAACUUUCAUUCAUAUCAAUGGAGAGAAUUAUUUUGGGAGCUUAUUUUGCUUUCAAUAUUUUGUACUUCAUUGAACUAAUUUCAAACUUAUCAAAAGUUGUUUCUUGUAGCGUUCAAACAAUUCGAGUAAAAUUAUCGAAUCUUGUGAUCAAGGGGUCAACAUAUUGUCGGUAAUUAUGUUGAUUAUUUGGUUCAAUAUAUUUGGGUCAAACUCAAAAGUCAAAACUUUGAUUUCUUGGCUUUCUUAGGUUGAUUCAAUCUUUUGUAAGUUUCGUAGCUACUAUUGUUACGUGAGUUCGCAUCAGUUGGUAUCGGAGCUUAUACUCCAAAAAUCAAGGUUAUAUUCUUUUCCCUUUUCACUUGAGUCUUUUGUUUUCUUUCUAUUAAUCUUUGCGUUUUUUUUAAGUCUUUAAUCCAUAAAAGUUUCAAAAAAAUUCGAAAGUCAUUUUUGUGCUCAUUUAUCAUCCAAAUAAGUUUCCGUUUCUUUUGCUAGUGUUGUAGCUAAGUUUUCGAGCAAAAAAAUCGAAAAAAAUUAUUUAUUUUGGAAAUUACAAGCUACAUAUAAUUCAUCAUAUAUAUAUAUGUCUAACCAAAAUUUAAGAAUCAUUUUCUUGAAUUAAAAUAGUUCCCAUUCAAAGUGUCAAAUUUCCUUGUUUCUUUCCUUUCUUUUUUGAGUCUUCUAAAGUACAAUUCUAACUUACAUUUUAGUUUGAAUUCUUUGAGAAUAAAGCUUGGUUGAGAUCAAGUCAGUUCUUUGAAACACUUGGGCAAAAGUAUUGAGUGGAGAAAGGCAAGAGUGGUGAGACUAUUAGAGGGAAAAAGUCAAAUUUGAGUGAUAUAUGAGCCACAUGAGGCACAUAUUACUUUAGAUUUAUGAUGUCUAAUUGAGACAAUUCUACCUCAAGCAGGUACAACAAUCAAGUCAACAUUUCGGAAGAAUUCAGAUGACGAUUCGAGAGGUUCAUCGAAGAUAUGAGGGACAAGCUUGAUAGGCAAGAGGCAUGGAUGGAAAGGCAAGAUCCAUUGCUCACCAAUUUACGUAUGGAUCAACCUAGGGGAGUUCCCAAUGCAAAAAGGCAAGGUAGGCAGGAGCCUAGGAUGGAGAAUCGAGUAGAAUAUGAAGCUGGUCGUGACAUUGAUGAAGGGACAUUAGUAGAUGUUGAGAAAGGGAAAAUGAGUGAUAGAGGGGUUAGGCAUGAAAGGGGGGUAGAGAUCUUGUUGGAGAUGGAGUUGACGAACGUAUGGACAAUAUCAAGAUGACAAUUCUUUCAUUCAAAGGAAGAAGUGAUCCGGAAACAUACUUGAAGUGGAAAAAGAAGAUCGAUAUGAUAUUUGAUUUCCACAACUACUCUGAGGAAAAAAAGGUGAAGAUUGCAGUGCUUGAAUUCACUGAUUAUGCUAUUACUUUCUGGGAUUAAGUAGUGACAUCUAAGAGGAGACAUCGUGAGAGGCCUAUUAGUACUUGAGAAGAAUUGAAAGCUAUCAUGAGGAAGAGGUUCGUGCCUAGUCAUUACUGUAGGGAGCUUCAUCAAAAAUUGCUAAGCCUCUACCAAAGUUCUAGGAGCAUGGAGGAUUAUCAUAAGGAGAUGGAGAUGAUGAUGCUUAGAGCGAAUGUUGAGGAGGAUAGGGGGGCCACCAUGGCCCGAUUUUUGAAUGGUUUGAAUAGGAAAAUAGCUAAUGUAGUGAAAUUACAACAUUAUGUAGAAUUGGAAGACAUACUACAUGUGAAUAUGAAGGUGAAGAGACAAUUGAAGAGGAAGGGGACAAGUAGGUAUCCAUCUGGUUCUUCGGGAUCUAAUCCUUCUUGAAAACCGAAGUGGGACAACAAAAAGGGAGAUGGGGCUAUUUCGAAGGACAAAAUUGAACCAUCAAAAGGAAAAGAGGAAAGUGCUAGCAAAGUCACAUCCAAAGUGGAGUCCCAAACGUCUAGGAGUCGAGACAUCAAAUACUUUACGUGCUUGGGGUUGUACACAUUGCUUUUGAAGUGUCGAGAGAUAUUGAUGAGAACUAUGGUGACAUGUUGGAAUUGGAAAAAGCUAGUGAUGGAGAAAUGGUGGAAUAUGUUGUGGGCUAGCUAUUGGUUACAAGACGAGCUCUUAGUGCUCAAAUCAAGCUGGAUGACUUAGGUCAACAAAGGGAGAACAUAUUCCAUACACGGUGCCAUAUCAAUGACAAUGUAUGUAGCAUGAUUAUUGAUGAAGAUAGUUGUACUAAUGUGGCUAGCACUAUACUCGUCGAAAAAUUGGGGUUAACCAUGUUAAAACAUCAUAAACUUACAAACUACAAUAGUUGAAUGAAUAUGACGAGUUUAGGGUGAAUAGGAGAUUUUGGUAAACUUUUCAAUUAGAAGCUAUCAUGAUGAGAUGAUAUUCAAUGUAGUUCCUAUGCAUGUCAGGCACAUUUUAUUGGGAAGACUAUGACAAUAUAAUGGGAUGGUGAUACAUGACGGGUACAAAAAUAGAUAUUGCUAUAACAAUGGCAAAAAAUCUAUUAGUCUUUUGCCACAUUAAAACCAGUACAAGUAUAUGAAGAUCAAAUUAAAUUGAAAUGUGAGGAAGAAAAAAGGUUGAGAGAAAUGAAGAGCAAGAGAGAAAAUAAUGAGGCGGCUAGUAGUCAUAAAAAAAAGUAUAACCACAAGAGGCAAAAGAAAAAAGAGUCUUGCGAGGGGAAAGAAAAGUCGAAAGUGAAUUUCUUUGUAAAAGGGAGUGAGCUGAAGAGGGUAAUAGUUGAGAGGCAACCAAUAAUCUUAUUUUUCUAUAAGGAGUCACUCUUCAAUUUGAUGAAUCUAAUACACCCCUCCUUAGUUUAGCUACUACUUUGUUGUAGGAAUUCGAAGACGUAUUCCCAGAGGACGUGAGGAGUUGAUGAGCAAAGGGUAUGUGAGGGAGAGUAUAAGUCCAUGUGUCAUGCCAGUUAUAACUUGUGCUAAAAAAGAUAGAACAUGGGGAAUGUGUGUGGAUUGCAGAGCCAUCAACAAUAUAAAGGUAAAGUAUCAUUACCUGAUUCCUACGUUAGAUGAAUUACAUGGCUCAUGCAUAUUCAGUAAAAUCGAUCUUAAAAGUGGUUAUCAUAAAAUUAGAAUAAGCGAAGGAUAUGAAUGGAAAAACUGCUUUUAAAAAUAAAUGUGGGCUGUAUGAAUGGUUAGUUAUGGCAUUUGGACUUACUAAUGCACCCAUCACUUUUAUGCGAUUGAUGAAUCAUGUUUUUGCGCAUUUAUAGGUGAAUCCGUAGUAGUUAAUUCAAUGAUAUCUUGAUUUAUAGUAAGGACUUAAAGAAGCAUAUAGAACACUUAAGAUGUGUACUUGUGAUUUUAAGAAAGGAACAACUCUUCCAAUUUUAGAAAGUGUACUUUUGUUGGGAAAAAGUUAUUUUUCUUGGAUGUGUGAUUAGUGCAAAGGGAAUAGAAGUAGAUGAGGAGAAAUCAAGGCUAUCAACGAAUGACAAACACCUAAAAACAUAAUUGAGGUUGGAAGCUUUCACAGGUGGGCUGGUUUCUAUAGGUGAUUUGUUAAAGACUUUAGCACAAUUGUCACACCACUUAUGGAAGUUGUUAAGAAAAGUGUAGGAUUUAAAUGGGGCGUAAAAUAAGAACAUGCAGUCAACACUAUUAAAGAUAGGUUGUGUAAGGCACUAGUUUUAGCAUUUUCUAACUUUGACAAAACUUUUGAGAUUGAAUGUGAUCAGUGGUGGAUCCAGGAACAAAAGCUAGCUAGGGUGGUCGUUGGCCGUUAACCAUUGAUUGUCGACAUUCAACGACCGAAAUAGUGAUGUCGUUUAUUAAUUAAUUAAAUAAUAUUAAAAAUUCUCCAAUCUAAAUGUAAAUACACUAAAACAUAAAAAUAAUAUACAUAUGAAAAAUAUAAUUUAAUACAACCCAAAAUAAUUAUAAAAAAAACACAUAAUAUUAUUUAUCACAAAAAAUUCCUAAUUUAACAUUUAAAUGAUGACAUUACACAACCAUGUAAAACCAAGGAUCCAGUUGUAUAUAAACCUAACCACAUCCAGUCAACUAGUCCAAUUGCAAUUAAUCUAAUUUUCUUAACUAAAUAAAUCAAAUUAUAGCUAAAAUCAAUCUCUUCACAUGCCCUAAAGUGCAAAAGUUACAAUUUUUUUUAUCAUUUGAGAAGAAGAUGAAUAUAAUGCAAUAAAAUUAUUGACAACGAGGUGGUGUGUGCGGUGCAUCGAGUUGGAGUUUGUGUAGAAGAAUAGGAUUUCGAAUUACUUGGUGUUUGAGUCUCAAAUUGGGAUAUUUGAAAGUCAAAUAUUGAAAUAUUGGCAAUGGAUGUAAUUGUUGUGAUUUUUGACAAUUAUCAAAGAGCGGCCGUUGUGAGUGGCAAUCUGCAAUCGCGCACAACACUAUUAGCAUCACUGGAGGCAUGCAUUAUCACAAUGCUCGCCCUUAUUCUAGCUGUGUCUUCUCAUGUGGCAGCAUUUUUGGACAUCAAUUUCCAUGUAUGGGAAAGAAAAUCGAAAGAGAACAAGGGCAGCAAGAUAUGUGGUUUGUAGUGUGCAAGCAUACGCUGCUAUAGAUAGAGAUACCGGCGUUUGAAGGGAUAUGUCAAAAGGUCUAGCUUCUAUUAAUGAGCCACAUUUUUAAGAAAAAAAGGCCCAUUCUUUUCCCAUUUUUCUAAAAUAAAAAAGGCCCAUUCUCAAACAAAAGAAAAAUGGCCCAUGAGGGCCACGACUUCAUCUUCUCCAAUUCUCUACCCGACAGAGAUCGCAGAUGAUAGAUCACGUACGCGGCUGCUGUAAAUUUCGAGGAAAAAUGGCCUCACCACCUUGUCAGGCGUUGGCUCUGCCACUGAAUGUAAUGCCUCAUGAAUAGGUAUUGGAGCUAUUUAAUGCAGGAUAGAAAAUCGAUUGUGUACUUCAAUGAGAAGCUAAGUGGAAUAGCUCUUAAUUAUACUACAUAUGAAAAAGAAUUGCGUGCACUUAUUAGAACUUUGGAAACAUGGUAGCACUAUCUAUAGUCAAAGGAGUUCGUGAUUCACACUGACCAUGAGUCCUUGAAGCAUUUGAGAGUCAAGGUAUGCUAAACAAGAGGCAUGUAAGAUGGAUGGAGUUUAUUGAGACAUUCUCCAUAUGUCAUUUGGUAUAAACAAGCUAAAGAAAAUGCGGUAGUGGAUGCAUUAUUAAUAAUGUAUGUGCUAACUUCUUUAGGUGCUAAACUGCUUGGAUUUGAAUUUGUUAAGGAUAUGUAUGCUAAUGAUCUAGUUUUUUCCAAUAUAUACGAAUCAUGUGAUAAAGGUGCUGUGGAUAGAUUCUUUAAGCAUGAUGGGUAUUUAUUUUGAAAAAACAAAUUAUGUGUUCUUAAAUGUUCAAUGAGAGAGUUGUUGGUAAGAGAAGCACAUAAUGAGGGUUUAAUGGGCCAUUAAAAAGACCUUAGAGAUAUUACAAGAAUAUUUUUAUUGGCCUAAGAUGAAAAUUGAAGUUGAUCAACAUUAUAGUAGAUACAUCACUUGUAAAAAGGUUAAGUUCAAGGUUUUACCUCAAGGCUUGUGUACACCUUUGCCUGUUCCUAGCCAGCCUUGGAUUGAUAUAUCUAUGGACUUCAUUUUAGGUUUACCUAGGACUAAGAAAUGAAGGGAUUCCAUAUUGUGAUAUUAGAUAGAUUUAGUAAAAUGGAGCACUUCAUUCUAUGUCAUAAAAAUUGAUGAUGCUACAAAUAUUGUAGAUCUAUUCUUUAAAGUAGUGCGUUUACAUGGGAUUCCUAGGAGCAUAAUAUCGGAUAGGAAUGUUAAAUUCCUUAGUCACUUUUGACGGGUUUUGUGGAAUAAGUUAGGCAUAUAGUUAUCGUUUUCUACAAAUUUUCACCACAAAUAGAUGGAUAAACUGAAAUAGUUAAUAGGAACAUGAUACAAUUGCUAUGCACUAUAAUUAAUAAGAAUUUGAAGAGUUAGGAAGAGUGCGUACCAUUAAUUGAGUUUGCAUAUAAUAGAGUCACGCAAUCUACUACUUCGUUUUCUCCUUUUGAAAUUGUAGAAGGCUUUAAUCCAGAAACACCUUUGGAUUUGAUUCCUUUGCAUGUUAGUGAACGAGGUAGUUUGGAUAGAAAGAAGAAAGUUGAAUUUGUGAAAUCACUCACAAGCACUAUGCAUCGCAAGCAAAUAAAGGUCAGAAAAGCGCUACAUUUGAACUCGGUGAUUGGGUUUAGGUACACUUGAGAAAUAAAUGUUUUCAUGAACAAAGAAAAUCAAAGUGACAGCCACGAGGAAAUGGUCCAUUUCAAGUCCUUGAAAGGAAUAAUGACAAUGCCUACAACUUAGAUCUUCUUGGUAAGUAUAACGUUUCAGUUACUUUUAAUGUUUUGUUUAUCUUUUUCUCUUUGAUGCAGGUACAAAUUCGAGUUUGAAUCAUUUCAAAGAGGAAGUGAAUGAUGUAAUCCAAGGACUGAAGAAAAGUCCGAACAAGGAUUCGUUGAUCGUUAAAGAAGGGCUGACACAGGACAAAAAUGUGGACAAAAUAAAAGUGUCUAGUUCAUAAUACACAAACAGAUGUCUGCUCAAAUUUCGCUCGAACGAACGUGAUAAUUAUUUGGAAUCUACCAAUGAACAAGAAAACUAAAAUAAUUUAUUAAUCAAGAAUCGAAUAAUGAAAUUGAACUUUGAAAGUGUAUAAAGCCUCUAUAUUUAUAGACAAAAUUAUCCCCUAAUGUUACUAAUAUAAGGAGUCUAAAAUAAGGAAACUAAUAAAUUCUAAUCUAAUUAAAACUCAUAUUCUAACUAAUAAAAAAAAUAUAG